CCUACGGGAGGCUGCAGUGGGGAAUAUUGGACAAUGGGGGCAACCCUGAUCCAGCCAUGCCGCGUGUGUGAAGAAGGCCCUCGGGUUGUAAAGCACUUUCAGUGAGGAAGAACGCCUGGUGGUUAAUACCCAUCAGGAAAGACAUCACUCACAGAAGAAGCACCGGCUAACUCCGUGCCACAGCCGCGGUAAUACGGAGGGUGCGAGCGUUAAUCGGAAUUACUGGGCGUAAAGCGCGCGUAGGUGGCUUGAUAAGCCGGUUGUGAAAGCCCCGGGCUCAACCUGGGAACGGCAUCCGGAACUGUCAAGCUAGAGUGCAGGAGAGGAAGGUAGAAUUCCCGGUGUAGCGGUGAAAUGCGUAGAGAUCGGGAGGAAUACCAGUGGCGAAGGCGGCCUUCUGGACUGACACUGACACUGAGGUGCGAAAGCGUGGGUAGCAAACAGGAUUAGAUACCCUUGUAGUC
RNAcentral lists this ribosomal RNA (464 nucleotides) under Vreelandella stevensii. Its description in RNAcentral is "partial 16S ribosomal RNA". It matches the Rfam family "Bacterial small subunit ribosomal RNA", at positions 338 to 795 of the family's 1533-position model. Lineage: Bacteria; Pseudomonadati; Pseudomonadota; Gammaproteobacteria; Oceanospirillales; Halomonadaceae. The record is from RNAcentral.